CCCUUAGAUGUUCUGGGCCGCACGCGCGCUACACUGAUGAAUUCAACGAGCUCCUAACCUAGGCCGAAGGGUCCGGGUAAUCUUUGAAAUUUCAUCGUGAUGGGGAUAGAUUAUUGCAAUUAUUAAUCUUCAACGAGGAAUUCCUAGUAAGCGCGAGUCAUCAGCUCGCGUUGAUUACGUCCCUGCCCUUUGUACACACCGCCCGUCGCUCCUACCGAUUGAAUGGUCCGGUGAAGCCUCCGGAUUGGCGCGCACCUCGGUGCCGCCGAGAAGUUGGCUAAACCUUACCAUUUAGAGGAAGGUGAANUCGUANCA
Molecule: ribosomal RNA, 315 nt
Filed under: uncultured eukaryote
Lineage: Eukaryota
Description: partial 18S ribosomal RNA
Rfam family: Eukaryotic small subunit ribosomal RNA
Source: RNAcentral